RNAcentral lists this ribosomal RNA (467 nucleotides) under uncultured bacterium. Its description in RNAcentral is "partial 16S ribosomal RNA". It matches the Rfam family "Bacterial small subunit ribosomal RNA", at positions 28 to 506 of the family's 1533-position model. The record is from RNAcentral.
GACGAACGCUGGCGGCGUGCUUAACACAUGCAAGUCGAACGGAAAGGCCCUGCUUUUGUGGGGUGCUCGAGUGGCGAACGGGUGAGUAACACGUGAGUAACCUGCCCUUGACUUUGGGAUAACUCCAGGAAACUGGGGCUAAUACCGGAUAGGAGCUCCUGCUGCAUGGUGGGGGUUGGAAAGUUUCGGCGGUUGGGGAUGGACUCGCGGCUUAUCAGCUUGUUGGUGGGGUAGUGGCUUACCAAGGCUUUGACGGGUAGCCGGCCUGAGAGGGUGACCGGCCACAUUGGGACUGAGAUACGGCCCAGACUCCUACGGGAGGCAGCAGUGGGGAAUAUUGCACAAUGGGCGGAAGCCUGAUGCAGCAACGCCGCGUGCGGGAUGACGGCCUUCGGGUUGUAAACCGCUUUCGCCUGUGACGAAGCGUGAGUGACGGUAAUGGGUAAAGAAGCACCGGCGAACUACGU